CUUUACUCCUACGGGAGGCAGCAGUGGGGAAUAUUGCACAAUGGGCGCAAGCCUGAUGCAGCGACGCCGCGUGAGGGAUGACGGCCUUCGGGUUGUAAACCUCUUUCAGCAGGGAAGAAGCGAAAGUGACGGUACCUGCAGAAGAAGCGCCGGCUAACUACGUGCCAGCAGCCGCGGUAAUACGUAGGGCGCGAGCGUUGUCCGGAAUUAUUGGGCGUAAAGAGCUCGUAGGCGGCUUGUCGCGUCGGUUGUGAAAGCCCGGGGCUUAACCCCGGGUCUGCAGUCGAUACGGGCAGGCUAGAGUUCGGUAGGGGAGAUCGGAAUUCCUGGUGUAGCGGUGAAAUGCGCAGAUAUCAGGAGGAACCACCGGUGGCGAAGGCGGAUCUCUGGGCCGAUACUGACGCUGAGGAGCGAAAGCGUGGGGAGCGAACAGGAUUAGAUACCCUGGUAGUCCACGCCGUAAACGGUGGGCACUAGGUGUGGGCGACAUUCCACGUCGUCCGUGCCGCAGCUAACGCAUUAAGUGCCCCGCCUGGGGAGUACGGCCGCAAGGCUAAAACUCAAAGGAAUUGACGGGGGCCCGCACAAGCGGCGGAGCAUGUGAAAUAGUUCGACGCAACGCGAAGACCCUUACCAAGGCUUGACAUACACCGGAAAACCCUGGAGACCAGGUCCCCCCCUUG
RNAcentral lists this ribosomal RNA (683 nucleotides) under Streptomyces sp. RNAcentral's name for it is "bacterial SSU rRNA". It matches the Rfam family "Bacterial small subunit ribosomal RNA", at positions 331 to 1022 of the family's 1533-position model. The record is from RNAcentral. Lineage: Bacteria; Bacillati; Actinomycetota; Actinomycetes; Kitasatosporales; Streptomycetaceae.